AUUAUUUCUUGGUCUUUUGACUGAGCUCAAGUGUAGUAUCUGUUCUUAUCAAUUUAAUAUCUGAUAUAUUCUCUAAACGAGAAUGUUAUUUUAAAGAUAUUUUUGGAGCAGGGAGCUAGAAUGAGGGCUUGUUUUUUCUGCUUUGUAUAUCAACUUGAUGGCAGCACGAUGGUGUAGUGGUU
Neoarius graeffei (lesser salmon catfish) is the source of this 182-nucleotide small nuclear RNA. RefSeq annotates it as U2 spliceosomal RNA. Lineage: Eukaryota; Metazoa; Chordata; Actinopteri; Siluriformes; Ariidae. The transcript has a single exon. The record is from RefSeq and is a predicted model, not a curated record.